This 465-nucleotide ribosomal RNA is filed under the name uncultured bacterium. RNAcentral describes it as "partial 16S ribosomal RNA". It matches the Rfam family "Bacterial small subunit ribosomal RNA", at positions 28 to 507 of the family's 1533-position model. The record is from RNAcentral.
GACGAACGCUGGCGGCGUGCUUAACACAUGCAAGUCGAACGGAAAGGCCCUGCUUGCAGGGUACUCGAGUGGCGAACGGGUGAGUAACACGUGGGUGAUCUGCCCUGCACUUCGGGAUAAGCCUGGGAAACUGGGUCUAAUACCGGAUAGGAGCCAUUUUUAGUGUGAUGGUUAGAAAGUUUUUUCGGUGUAGGAUGAGCUCGCGGCCUAUCAGCUUGUUGGUGGGGUAAUGGUCUACCAAGGCGGCGACGGGUAGCCGGCCUGAGAGGGUGGACGGCCACAUUGGGACUGAGAUACGGCCCAGACUCCUACGGGAGGCAGCAGUGGGGAAUAUUGCACAAUGGGCGCCAGCCUGAUGCAGCGACGCCGCGUGGGGGAUGACGGCCUUCGGGUUGUAAACUCCUUUCGCUAGGGACGAAGCUUUUUGUGACGGUACCUAGAUAAGAAGCACCGGCUAACUACGUG